Molecule: unclassified non-coding RNA, 265 nt
Filed under: Hevea brasiliensis (rubber tree)
Lineage: Eukaryota; Viridiplantae; Streptophyta; Magnoliopsida; Malpighiales; Euphorbiaceae
Source: RNAcentral
GGGAGGGGGAAGAUCGUGCGGCGGCGCGCCGGGAAGCAGCACCUUCUCAGCAAGAAGAACACCAAGCGCAGGAAGAGGCUAUCCAAGAUGAUCCAAGUUAACAAGAGCGACUACAACAACGUGACGGGCGCACUGCCCUACCUCAAAGUGAACAGGAAUGCAGAAUGAGAUCUCCUAGGUCUUGCAAACAUGCUUCUGUUUCGUUUCAUCAAAUUGUAAUUUUGUGUAUCUUCUUUGUAUUUCUUUUCUGAAUACCAAGGUCCCA